GAUGAAGAACGCAGCGAAAUGCGAUAAGUAAUGUGAAUUGCAGAAUUCAGUGAAUCAUCGAAUCUUUGAACGCAACUUGCGCCUUUUGGUAUUCCGAAAGGCAUGCCUGUUUGAGUGUCAUAUAAACCUCACCUCUACUGUUUUUCAUUAGACAUGUGGACUGGCGCUUUGGGCGUCUGCCGUUUACUCUGGCUCGCCUUAAAUGUCUAAGUGGAAUGCGUAAUAAGUCUUCGCAACCCUCCACUCUAAUACAAACUUUUAUAUUCUGACCUCAAAUCAGGUAGGACUACCCGCUGAACUUAAGCAUAUCAAUAAGCGGAGGA
This 323-nucleotide unclassified non-coding RNA is filed under the name soil metagenome. Its description in RNAcentral is "partial contains 5.8S ribosomal RNA, internal transcribed spacer 2, and large subunit ribosomal RNA". The stretch from base 1 to 120 matches the Rfam family "5.8S ribosomal RNA", at positions 35 to 154 of the family's 154-position model. The record is from RNAcentral.